CUCGCGCUGUCGCUGACAUUGUUUACUUGGUGGUCGACAUGUUUAGUCGUCAGCCCGCACUGGGCCACAUUGCACAAUAAUGUCUACCUGCACUACACAAUCACUUGACUCGAACACUACAGAUGAAGAGGAAAGGGACGACCAUUCUUUAAGCGUCGAGUGAACUAGCAGUGGAUUGUGUGUCCGGACCAUAUGUUUAUGUCUCUGGGGUGUCCAUUGAGGUUCACAGUGGCAAGCUAUCCAAGACAACACAUUCGGUGGAUGUGAAGUGUCAAAUGAAGUGUUUACCUUAAUAUUGGUUGUCGAAAGCAAAAUGAUUAAGUGACGGUUACACGUGGAUCAAUACUCGCGUCCGAUUUCAAAGCCCCGGACGAGCCAGGAGACCAAGGUUUUCCCCAAGAAUCAAAAUAGAGACAAGGAAACUCGAUCACCUCGUCACUGAUAUGAGAUAGAGGUGUGACGCGGCCUGGAAUCGAACCACGGAUCUUCCGCUCUCCGGGCAGACGCUCUACCACUAGGCCACAGAGGCGGUCCGAUAUGACAUACAGAACAAGUUACGGAAAUUGAGUUGCAUACGACCCAUUAUCCACGUCGAUGACCAGCGAUGCAGGUACCUAUUAAGCUGGUGAAGGGAGGGGAAGUGUUCUACGUGGACGUCGAACAAUCCGACACCAUGAGAGAAGUGAAGAACAAGAUAGAGCAGAAACGGGGGUAUCUUCCAGAUGACCAAAGGCUGCUCCUUCCGGGGAAAGGGCUUCUUGACCACCACACUGUGUCGUACUAUGGGAUAAGCGAGGAAUCCUCACUUCACUUGGCACUCCGGUUUAAAAAACUGACGGAAGCCGGAAGCAGCCAUCAAUCAUCUACCUAGAGCUUUACACGUGCAUCAAUCAUCCAACAGUCUCCAGCUACAGUGGUUGCAUUGCACGUGUGACGGUCCCAGUCGCCACUCUUCCUACAUAUGGCUACAGUCUCCAGCUAUAUAUAUAUAUAUAUAACACGGCGGAAGGACGUGACAGUUCCGAGCAAUGUGUCUGUUUACUGUUACACGCCAUUGGGCCACGUUGUUGAUUGUGUCAGGGUGUCUAUAUAUAGAACAAACCCACAUCUGUAUACCGAAACGUCG
Haliotis rufescens (red abalone) is the source of this 1126-nucleotide long non-coding RNA. RefSeq lists it as uncharacterized. The transcript is spliced from 4 exons. The record is from RefSeq and is a predicted model, not a curated record. NCBI's taxonomy places the organism in Eukaryota, Metazoa, Mollusca, Gastropoda, Lepetellida, Haliotidae.